AUUGAACGCUGGCGGCAGGCCUAACACAUGCAAGUCGAACGAGUGGCGGACGGGUGAGUAAUGUCUGGGAAACUGACUGAUGGAGGGGGAACACUACGGGAAACGGUAGCUAAUAGCGCAUACCAUCAGAGGUGCCCAAAUGGUGUUAGCUAGUUGGUGGGGUAAGGGCUCACCAAGGCGAGGCCCCCUAGCUGGUCUGAGAGGGUGACCAGCCACACUGUAACUGAGACACGGUCCAGACUCCUACGUGAGGCAGCAGUGGGGAAUAUUGCACAAUGGGCGCAAGCCUGAUGCAGCCAUGCCGCGUGUAUGAAGAAGGCCUUCGGGUUGUAAAGUACUUUCAGCGGGGAGGCGUUACCCGCAGAAGAAGCACCGGCUAACUCCGUGCCAACCGCCGCGGUAAUUC
RNAcentral lists this ribosomal RNA (406 nucleotides) under uncultured bacterium. Its description in RNAcentral is "partial 16S ribosomal RNA". It matches the Rfam family "Bacterial small subunit ribosomal RNA", at positions 30 to 526 of the family's 1533-position model. The record is from RNAcentral.